GGCGAUUUAGCUCAGUUGGUUAGAGCGUGUGCUUAACACUAGGAUCCUCUGUAGAUCAAGCGUUGCGCACAAGGUCGGCGGUUCGACCCCGUCAAACGUCA
This 101-nucleotide transfer RNA is filed under the name Apiotrichum porosum. RNAcentral describes it as "tRNA-Val". It matches the Rfam family "tRNA". From Rfam's summary of the family: Transfer RNA (tRNA) molecules are approximately 80 nucleotides in length. The record is from RNAcentral. Lineage: Eukaryota; Fungi; Basidiomycota; Tremellomycetes; Trichosporonales; Trichosporonaceae.